CGCCAACACUGGGACUGAGAUACUGCCCAGACUCCUACGGGAGGCUGCAGUCGAGAAUCUUUCGCAAUGGACGAAAGUCUGACGAAGCGACGCUGUGUGAGCGAUGAAGGCCUUCGGGUUGUAAAGCUCUUUCGCAUAGGAACAAGAGAGAGCGGUGAAUAGCCGUUCGAUUUGAGGGUACUAUGUAAAGAAGCACCGGCUAACUCCC
This 208-nucleotide ribosomal RNA is filed under the name uncultured Chlamydiales bacterium. Its description in RNAcentral is "partial 16S ribosomal RNA". It matches the Rfam family "Bacterial small subunit ribosomal RNA", at positions 305 to 505 of the family's 1533-position model. Lineage: Bacteria; Pseudomonadati; Chlamydiota; Chlamydiia; Chlamydiales. The record is from RNAcentral.